AAAAGAAAAAACCUGCAGUCAAAAUUACUGCAGGUCCUUUUAUUUUUAUGAAAAAUAAAAGGCUAAAGGGAGAGGAGAAACCGGAUGAAGAGCUUAUGGGGAAGAAUAAGCCUUCUUCCGUUU
Molecule: non-coding RNA, 123 nt
Filed under: Oceanobacillus oncorhynchi
Lineage: Bacteria; Bacillati; Bacillota; Bacilli; Caryophanales; Bacillaceae
Description: ylbH
Rfam family: ylbH leader
About the family: This family is a putative regulatory RNA structure that is found upstream of the ylbH gene in B. subtilis and related low GC Gram-positive bacteria.
Source: RNAcentral